RNAcentral lists this ribosomal RNA (242 nucleotides) under uncultured bacterium. Its description in RNAcentral is "partial 16S ribosomal RNA". It matches the Rfam family "Bacterial small subunit ribosomal RNA", at positions 524 to 758 of the family's 1533-position model. The record is from RNAcentral.
UACGUAGGGGCCAAGCGUUGUCCGGAUUUAUUGGGCGUAAAGAGCUCGUAGGCGGUUCGGCAAGUCGGAUGUGAAAUCUCCACGCUUAACGUGGAGGAGCCAUUCGAAACUGCCGUGACUCGAGUCCCGGUAGGGGAGUGGUGGAAUUCCCGGUGUAGCGGGUGAAAUGCGCAGAAUAUCGGGAGGAACACCAGUAGCGAAGGCGGCACUCUGGGCCGGGUACUGGACGCUGAGGAGCGAAA